GACGAACGUUGGCGGCGUGCCUAAUACAUGCAAGUCAACUGAAAUACCGGUAGCAAUACUGGUAUGGAGGUGGCGCACGGGUGAGUAACACGUAGGUAAUCUGCCUUCAGGUCUGACAUAACCCAUCGAAAGGUGAGCUAAUAUCAGAUGAUGCAGCGGCUUGACAUCAAGACAGUUGUUAAAGCUUCGGCGCCUGAAGAUGAGCCNGCGUCUGAUUAGCUAGUUGGCGGGGUAACGGCCCACCAAGGCUGCGAUCAGUAGCUGGUCUGAGAGGAUGAUCAGUCACACUGGAACUGAGACACGGUCCAGACUCCUACGGGAGCAGCAGUAAGGAAUAUUGCUCAAUGGCCGAAAGGCUGAAGCAGCAACGCCGCGUGAGGGAUGAAGGGUCUUUUGC
RNAcentral lists this ribosomal RNA (397 nucleotides) under uncultured bacterium. Its description in RNAcentral is "bacterial SSU rRNA". It matches the Rfam family "Bacterial small subunit ribosomal RNA", at positions 28 to 422 of the family's 1533-position model. The record is from RNAcentral.